This 2008-nucleotide long non-coding RNA is filed under the name Canis lupus familiaris (dog). RNAcentral's name for it is "lncRNA (ENSCAFG00000056283.1, ENSCAFG00845001066.1)". The record is from RNAcentral. Lineage: Eukaryota; Metazoa; Chordata; Mammalia; Carnivora; Canidae.
CUUCCAGCAGUUGAACUGAACUUUGAGGAAAAGAAAUGUUCAGAAGUCUCACUUCUGAGUAGACUGGCCUCACCGAUGGCAGCCGGCCAGGAGUUAAGCCAACAAGAAGCCCUAUAAUGGAUUCUGAAGCAGGCCUGGAGUCUAUGGGCUCUCAAAAUAGCCUCUCCUGGUGGCAGCUAUCUUUCCCUUCCCUGCAUUGAACUUCUUUUCCCAAAUGAAUCUCAGUCCUCAGUAAAGUCUUAGGAAAAGCCUGACCUCUCUUAUUUCUUGGGAAUUAAGAAAAGAGGAUGGGAGGCAGGAUUUGCAAAGAAAGCAGUCCCUUUGCCAAGUGCAUGGUGGUGUCAUCAGUAGCAAAUCCCCAUGGGAACACCCAGCAGCCUUGGUCAGCUGUGGAAACAGCACUGUGACAAUUUGCUCUUGAGGUAGAAUCAGGGUGAAAGAAGGACAAAGAGCCUGAGGGAUUACCAUGGGAGGAGAUCACCAAGAGACUUUUAGCCAGGAUGAGGAUGUGGGAUUUUAUCUGAGAGAAAUGGGAAGCUACUGGAAGGAAGGUGAUCUUCAAACACUUUUCAACGAUUAGAUGUAUAAGAACUUCUUUCAGUGAUUCUGUAAUGGAAAGAAUUCCAUAGAGUUCAAAAUGCUUGCUAGGCCCAACUCGGCCCUCCUAAAUAAGGUGGAUUUGGGCAAUUCUUUCUGCUGGUAGUAUUGCUUUGGGAGAAACUAAUCCUGUUAUCCUGACUUCAUUUGUUAGGUCUAACAAUCAAAGUAUGAGCAAAGCAAAGUCACCGUUGAAUAAACUUGACAAAAUGGAAGAGAAUUUGAGGUGGUUUGAUGUGAAAUUCGUCACAAUUUGGUCCUUAGCAUAUCCCCUAACCUAAAGUCAAAUAGAGCAGCACAUAGGUCAUAUUGAGGUUUUACGGACCUUUCUAGCAACCUUAAGACACUUAACUAACACCAAAGCUAUAACAUGAAACCUGAACUGCUUUUCCUAGUUCCAGGCUUCUCUUUAAUUAUAGUCGCAUUUGUCUCUCAAUAGACUUUUAAUUUUCAUUUCUACCGAGAAGCAUCCUUGGCCCUUAUUAGAUGCUCACCAUCCCAUGCAAACAGACUGAUACUUCUCGGCUUGUUCUCACACAUAUUAAUUCUAUUUAAUUUGGAAUACCUCUCCUUUUGUUUAUUUUUAAAAGUGCAUAAAUACUGCAUGAAUACAAUCUUAGUGCAAACUAUUUAAGGCGUAUAUUAAUAAGGAGUGUAAAAUCUGAAAAUUCCCACCCAUCUUAACCCCUAAAUCCACUGCUGAUCCCAAAGAUAAAUAGCAUCAAUAGUUAUAAGAGAAUCCUUCCAUUCUGGCGUUUACGUAGCCAUAUCUAUCUGCCUUUUUAUAGAUUUACACGUAUUUUAAUUACACACAUUUUAAUUUAAAAGGAACCAUAUAAUAUAUGUUGUUUUGCAACUUGAUUUUUCCACUGUCUUGGAGAACUUUCUGUAUCAGUGCAAAGAGAUCUAGCUCGUUCCUUUUAACCAUUGCAGAGAAUUUUUUUGAACGGACAUGCCAUUAUAUACUUUAACCAUGCCUCUGCAGUCAUGAUGAGUUUUUCCAAAUGUUUUAUGAUUAAGACAAUUUUGAAUAAAUACACAUCUUUAUGCACAAUUUUCAGCAGUUACUCUGGGAUAGAUUGGCAGAAGUGGACUGACCUGAUCACAAGGAGCUGACAAUUUAAAAAUUUAAUAGGUAUAAGAAAAUUGCUUUCAAAAUUAUUUUAUAUUCUACUAACUGUUGUUGAGAAUACUUAAUUCUCUGCAUCAUUCUCAAUAAUAGGUGCUAUAGAGAUGCCUGGGGGGCUUAGUGGUUGAGUGUCUGCCUUUGGCUCAGGGCAUGAUCCCUGAGUCCUGGGAUUUAGUCCCACAUCGGGAUCCCUGCAGGAAGCUUGCCUCUCCCUCUGCCUGUGUCUCUGCCUCUCUCUCUGUGUCUCUCAUGAAUAAAUAAAUAAAUAAAAUCUUAAAAAAA